Molecule: unclassified non-coding RNA, 117 nt
Organism: Pongo abelii (Sumatran orangutan)
Lineage: Eukaryota; Metazoa; Chordata; Mammalia; Primates; Hominidae
Rfam family: Metazoan signal recognition particle RNA
About the family: The signal recognition particle (SRP) is a universally conserved ribonucleoprotein.
Source: Ensembl
GCUGGGCGUGGUGGCUCAUGCCUGUAAUCCCAGCUACUUGGGAGGCUGAGACAGUAGGAUUGCUUGAGUCCAGGAGUUGAAGACCAGCCUGGGCAAAAAAACAAGACUCUGUCUCUA